RNAcentral lists this signal recognition particle RNA (99 nucleotides) under Flavobacteriales bacterium. RNAcentral describes it as "signal recognition particle sRNA small type". It matches the Rfam family "Bacteroidales small SRP", at positions 8 to 103 of the family's 107-position model. Rfam says of the family: The non-coding component of the signal recognition particle in Bacteroides The record is from RNAcentral. Lineage: Bacteria; Pseudomonadati; Bacteroidota; Flavobacteriia; Flavobacteriales.
GGGCAAGUCUUGUACGUCCAGCUCCUGCUGAAUCCCUCAGGGCCGGAAGGCAGCAAGGGUAGGCGGUCGUAGCGGAGCGAUAUGAGGAGCUUGCCCCAC